GUUAUACUUCCAGAGAACCUGUUGCAACACAGCGUACAGAGACCACUGUCACUUGGGAUUCACCAGCUGAGCCUUCUUCAACCAGGGCCAUUCCAAGUACAAAGUCACGCAGUAUUGGGCCUGCUGUUUCUACACCACCACGAGGUUAUACUUCCAGAGAACCUGUUGCAACACAGCGUACAGAGACCACUGUCACUUGGGAUUCACCAGGUUAUACUUCCAGAGAACCUGUUGCAACACAGCGUACAGAGACCACUGUCACUUGGGAUUCACCAGGUAAGUUACCAACCAAAGGAGAUGGGUAAUAGAUUUCCAGCCAUUAGCAUCAUAUCUGUGUAUUUAAUAAGCACCUAUC
Molecule: long non-coding RNA, 355 nt
Filed under: Bos indicus x Bos taurus (hybrid cattle)
Lineage: Eukaryota; Metazoa; Chordata; Mammalia; Artiodactyla; Bovidae
Description: lncRNA (ENSBIXG00000010308.1)
Source: RNAcentral